Pollicipes pollicipes is the source of this 787-nucleotide long non-coding RNA. RefSeq lists it as uncharacterized. The record is from RefSeq and is a predicted model, not a curated record. Lineage: Eukaryota; Metazoa; Arthropoda; Thecostraca; Pollicipedomorpha; Pollicipedidae. The transcript has 2 exons.
GCCUUACUUGAUGAGGCGUCAUGUUAACGCGAAAAGGCGCAGAUGGAGUAUAUCGUAUACGAAGAGCGGCGAGCGUCAGUUGCAAGCCUGCCCUGUCGCAGAGAGCACCAUGGCGUCCGUGGCGGUGGUGCUGGCCGUCCUGCUGAUGGUGGGGAUCGGCGCUCCUGACGCCGCUGAUGCGGCGAGACUGAGGCCGCUCUCCGGAUGCUUCAUACACGGGUGUCCUUCCGGUCAAAUUUGCAAGCUGCAGCAGGUGGUCUGCUGCUGCGCGCCAUGCUACCCCAUUCCAGCCUGCGUCCCCAUCUUCCCCUGAGCCACCGUCUGCGAUCUCUGCGCCGGGUCACGACCCCGUUCGGAUCGACCUGACUCAACUACCAACGCCAAACUCGACUUCCUGAUUCAACUCGACAUUGCUUCACUGUCGCUGCUCCGUCAGCCACCUACCCCGGGCCAAGACCAUGUCAGGCUUCUGUCCACCGCCGGAACACGUGUUCCAGUUCAACGUGCAAUUCGGCGGGUACGACAACGAAGUUAACUCCACCCUGCCUUCCGCGUAUCCAGAGGACGAACAGCACCACCCUCGCCUGUCCGGGUUUGUGCCAUGACUUCAGGUGCCCCCCCCCCCCCCUCCCCUUCAGCCGCCGACAUCAUCGCGUGUGCUUGCCGGGCAGCUUCUCUUGUCGUGGCGGCGCCGGUCGUCGUGGUGGCUUCUUUUGUGGUCGCGGCUUUUCUUGUCGCGGCAGCGUUUACCAUUAAAUGUGCCGAUAGAAUACAUACUUUGACAUUA